GCCGUUUAUUCUCUCUCUACACCCUCACUAUCGAGUCGCUGUAGAGAGAGAAAAGAACGCAGCGAAUUAGAGAUAUUAGACCACAAAAAGGAAAGUAUUAAUAAAAUAUGCAGAGAAAGCAGCUGUAGUUUUUACUUUGAGAGAGAGGAGACAGAGAAAAGGACUGGAAGAGUACAAUGAGAGUAAACCAGAGUGAGAGAGCGUGCUUUUUAUCUGCUGCUAUUAGAGUACUUUUCUCCUUUAACGAUCAUCAUCACAAGCACCUUCCUUAGCACCACCACCACAACAACCACCAGUCGCCACCGCAUUGUCCAGUUCUUGAUGUAAUAAGAUGUGCAUAAUCUCAUUAUUACUAAUGUGCACGUGAGAUCUUUUUUUUUUUUUUUUUUGGUUCUGCAGUUGUCUUUUGAUGUUUUAUGUAUCUUCACUCUUUAAAUUCACUACUUGAUGAUGGUGGUUGAGGAUUUAUUUUAUUUAGUUCCUCAGAUGCUACUUCACCAUGUAUAACUGAAAGAGUCCCUAUUGAUGAUGUUGAAGAAUCAUUAAUUGGAUUAUUGAUGACAUUAUCAUGCUAAAUCUUGCUCAUGGGCAGUACCAGGUUUGCUGAUAUUGGGAUGCUUGAAUAUCUACAGACAUGACCUUUUGUUCCUGCAGAAGUGAAUCUUGGUUUCAUACUGUAACUGAAUUCAGAGUUGCACUGUUGCUAGCAAGCAGUCCAUGGUUUUACGCAGAGGUAGGGCACUUAAGAAUGCAAUCUCCUGAGAGUAAUUUUCAUCGUUUAUUGAUUUAUGUUUCUUGGUAAACUUCUGAUUAAGCUAAGCAUACAAGAUUUUUCUGGUUAGGGAAGAGGUCUUGUAACCCCAAAUGGACUGUAUUUUACAUAUUAUAUCGUGCAAGCUUCAAAUCUUUACUCAACAUGAUGAAUUAUUAAAUGGCUGCACAACUUGCAUAAACAGGGGAACCUGUUUAGUGCUUCCCGGUAGACUGAGUAACAGGACUUAAAGAAUGAAGAAUGAUUUGAGGACAGACUAAGCUGGAACUUUGGCCAGCUCCCAAUUCUUAAAAGACCUUGGAAUGAGGAUCAAUUUCCUCAGGAUACAACCUACUUUCGUUGAGGUUUGUCCCUUAUUCUUUAAUGGUUUGCUUCUCUUGUAAAUAAAUAAAUACAAACAAAAUUAAGUGUUUGUCUGGUGCUAAUUGACUGUAAAUAAAUUGAGAUUUCCCCUAUUCUUGAAGAAUCUUUCAUUGGAUUGUAGAUGACAUGCUAUAUCUUGCUCAAGCAGUACUGGAAUCACGGUAGCUUCUAUUAUUUAUCAUUUUGUUUCUGUUUGAACUUCUUUUAUUGUACACCAAAUUUUAGGUUCACGCAUGUUUCCUUAAUCGUGCUACGUCUUGCAUUCUUGCUUGUGGCAGUAUUGUAUACUGAGACUUACAAUCAUGAUAGCUUUUAUUCAUUCACCUUUAUGUUUCUGUUUGACUCCUUUUAUUGUAUUCCAAAUUUUGGUUCAAAUGAUAGAAUUCUUUCAUUAAGGUUUAGUCAUAUUUGGUAGACUUAAAAAGCUGCUGUCACCUUUUGGUUUCACCAAAACAGAAUUUGGAUUAUCAUUAAAGCUUGCUAGGAUCAGUUAAGAACCCAAUCCCUCUGGAUUUCAGUCAUUAUUGAUUUACCUAUUUUUUCUAGAUAAGCUUUUGAUUAAAGGUAAAUAUUGUUGUCCUGGUCCCUGGGAGAGGUCUUUGUAACUAAAUUGACUAGAUUUUACAUACAAUAUCUUGUUAGUUUCAAGUCUGUGCGUAUCAUCAUGAAUUAAGAAAUGCCUCCACCACUUAUGUUAACAGGGGGCCUGCCUGACUCUUCCUGAUAGACUGGGUAUCAGAUCUUAAAGGAUGAAAAAGAAUUUGAACACAUGCAGAAGACAAGGCGAGUUCCUGAUUUUUGAAAGACCUGGAAUGCGAACUUAAAGAACAAGUUUGGAUUUAAGCUAAUUAUUUUUAUUUCUUAGGCCAGAGAUAAUAAGGUUACACCAGUGGUCAGAGUUACUUUGCUUUUUGCAAAAUGUGAUAUCAAAGUCAGCUUUCAUAAUAGUUGAACUGUUAAGUCUAUUUACCAAUUAUGCUCAAAUAUCUUAUUUUAUUAAUUCUCAUAAGCUCAAAUAUUUUCCUAGAGUUUGCUUUAUGUAUGAUAUAUAAACUUAGAGGGUGGCCUUAUUGUAACGGUAAAAGUUACUCUACUUGUGACCUAGAGGUCACGGAAUCGAGCCAUGGAAACUACCUAUCUAUAAAGUAGGGAUAAAGCUACAUACAUCAACCCUUUCCCAGAGCCCACAAGUAUGAGAUGUUUCAUGCAUUGGGUCACCCUUUAUAUGAUAUAUAAACUUCCUCAACUUUGUGUGUGUGCAUAUAGUUCAAACAGAAACUAGCAUACAUCAUUUACAGGGGAAAAUUAUUCACCCUUCCUUUCAAUCUACUGUUCUGAUUGUUGCAUGGCAUCUAUUUACAUCUUGUUUUGACAAGUACCCGAACAAAAUAUGCCUAUGUUUUAUCUGAAAAUCUCAUAUUUUAGCA
This 2562-nucleotide unclassified non-coding RNA is filed under the name Hevea brasiliensis (rubber tree). The record is from RNAcentral. Lineage: Eukaryota; Viridiplantae; Streptophyta; Magnoliopsida; Malpighiales; Euphorbiaceae.